Molecule: ribosomal RNA, 480 nt
Filed under: Copelatus sp. MB0446
Lineage: Eukaryota; Metazoa; Arthropoda; Insecta; Coleoptera; Dytiscidae
Description: SSU rRNA
Rfam family: Eukaryotic small subunit ribosomal RNA
Source: RNAcentral
UGUCUCAGUACAAGCCACAUUAAGGUGAAACCGCGAAAGGCUCAUUAAAUCAGUUAUGGUUCCUUAGAUCGUACCCACAUUUACUUGGAUAACUGUGGUAAUUCUAGAGCUAAUACAUGCAAACAGAGUUCCGACCGGAGACGGGAGGAAUGCUUUUAUUAGAUCAAAACCAAUCGGCGGCGGGUGCGUUCGCGCGCCCGUUCGCCGCUCAACCUGGUGACUCUGAAUAACUUUCGGCUGAUCGCACGGUCCAGCACCGGCGACGCAUCUUUCAAAUGUCUGCCUUAUCAACUGUCGAUGGUAGGUUCUGCGCCUACCAUGGUCGUAACGGGUAACGGGGAAUCAGGGUUCGAUUCCGGAGAGGGAGCCUGAGAAACGGCUACCACAUCCAAGGAAGGCAGCAGGCGCGCAAAUUACCCACUCCCGGCACGGGGAGGUAGUGACGAAAAAUAACGAUACGGGACUCAUCCGAGGCCCCGU